Molecule: ribosomal RNA, 466 nt
Filed under: Fuscoporia torulosa
Lineage: Eukaryota; Fungi; Basidiomycota; Agaricomycetes; Hymenochaetales; Hymenochaetaceae
Description: SSU rRNA
Rfam family: Bacterial small subunit ribosomal RNA
Source: RNAcentral
AAAUCCUUGAUGUGUCAUUGAGGAUAAGGUAAGGGAAAAUUAUGAUAUUACCUUACUAUUAGUGUCGUCCAAAACUCGUGCCAGAAGACUCGGUAAGGCGAGAGACGCAAACGUUAAUCAUCUUGAUCAGGCGUAAAGGGUAUGUAGGCUGUUUAAGUUAAAGAUAUUUUAUCUUUAACGGAUACUAGAAUCUAAAGGAGGUUAAAAUAAUAUUUCUUAUUGUAAGUGUUCGAACUUUAGAAAAGAAGUAGAGUGUUAAAGGCGUAGGCUUUUUUCCAAUAAAGAUUGACGCUGAGAAACGAAGGAGAGGGCAGAAAAAAGGAUUAGAGACCCUUGUAUUCCUCUCUGUCAACGAUGAAUGGUAGUCAUGAGAUAGAAAUAAUCUUGAGGCGAUGUUAACACGUAAAAUCAUUCCGCCUUGUGAGUACGACUGCAAAGUUGAAAACAAAAAAAUUAGUCGGUUUCG